AGUCUCAAUGGACAGGCAGACUGCGUGCUGGCACGCAAGGCUGCAUGAACAUUUGAGACGCUAACCCGUAUGAGCAUGGAGGGCGAUAGCCCAGAAUGCGAAUACGGGUAGGAUUGCGGGAGCGCCAAAGGCGCAGAGCAAUCCGUGGC
RNAcentral lists this small RNA (149 nucleotides) under chicken gut metagenome. RNAcentral's name for it is "Clostridiales-1 RNA". It matches the Rfam family "Clostridiales-1 RNA". The record is from RNAcentral.